RNAcentral lists this ribosomal RNA (876 nucleotides) under uncultured eukaryote. Its description in RNAcentral is "SSU rRNA". It matches the Rfam family "Eukaryotic small subunit ribosomal RNA", at positions 568 to 1465 of the family's 1831-position model. The record is from RNAcentral.
CAGCAGCCGCGGUAAUUCCAGCUCCAAGAGCGUAUAUUAAAGUUGUUGCAGUUAAAAAGCUCGUAGUUGGAUUUCUGGUACAACGCGCCUGGCCCGCUUUUGUGAGUGCCGGAGCACGUUUGCCAUCCUUCUAGAAAACGUUUCUACCCGGGCAACUGGGCCGGACUCGCGAUCUAGAUCUUUUACUUUGAAAAAAUUAGAGUGUUUAAAGCAGGCUUUUGCUGUGAAUACGUUAGCAUGGAAUAAUAAUCUAGGACUUCGGUUCUAUUUUGUUGGUUUCUAGUACUGAAGUAAUGAUUGAUAGGGAUAGUUGGGGGUGCUAGUAUUGGCCGGCCAGAGGUGAAAUUCUUGGAUUCGGUCAAGACUAACUUAUGCGAAAGCAUUCACCAAGGAUGUCUUCUUUAAUCAAGAACGAAAGUUGGGGGAUCGAAGACGAUCAGAUACCGUCGUAGUCUCAACCAUAAACUAUGCCAACUAGGGAUGGGUGAACGUUGUUUUUUUGACUUCAUCUGCACCUUAUGAGAAAUCAAAGUCUUUGGGUUCCGGGGGGAGUAUGGUCGCAAGGCUGAAACUUAAAGGAAUUGACGGAAGGGCACCACCAGGAGUGGAGCCUGCGGCUUAAUUUGACUCAACACGGGAAAACUUACCAGGUCCGGACAUAGUGAGGAUUGACAGAUUGAAGAUCUUUCUUGAUUCUAUGGGUGGUGGUGCAUGGGCCGUUCUUAGUUGGUGGAGUGAUUUGUCUGGUUAAUUCCGUUAGCGAACGAGACCUCGACCUGCUAAAUAGUUCGACUUAUUUUUCGGAAUAUGUACGUGACUUCUUAGAGGGACUAUCGGUGGUUAGCCGAUGGAAGUUCGAGGCAAUAACAGGUCUGU